GGUCCCGUAGCUCAGUCUGGUUAGAGCACCAGGCUUUUAACCUGGGUGUCGAGGGUUCAAAUCCCUUCGGGGCCA
Molecule: transfer RNA, 75 nt
Filed under: Candidatus Pacearchaeota archaeon
Lineage: Archaea; Nanobdellati
Also listed under: 1 other name
Description: tRNA-Lys
Rfam family: tRNA
About the family: Transfer RNA (tRNA) molecules are approximately 80 nucleotides in length. Their secondary structure includes four short double-helical elements and three loops (D, anti-codon, and T loops).
Source: RNAcentral